Molecule: ribosomal RNA, 426 nt
Filed under: uncultured bacterium
Lineage: Bacteria
Description: bacterial SSU rRNA
Rfam family: Bacterial small subunit ribosomal RNA
Source: RNAcentral
AGGGAAUCUUCCGCAAUGGACGAAAGUCUGACGGAGCAACGCCGCGUGAGUGAAGAAGGUCUUCGGAUCGUAAAACUCUGUUGCCGGGGAAGAACAAGUGCCGUUCGAACAGGGCGGCGCCUUGACGGUACCCGGCCAGAAAGCCACGGCUAACUACGUGCCAGCAGCCGCGGUAAUACGUAGGUGGCAAGCGUUGUCCGGAAUUAUUGGGCGUAAAGCGCGCGCAGGCGGUUUCUUAAGUCUGAUGUGAAAUCUUGCGGCUCAACCGCAAGCGGUCAUUGGAAACUGGGAGGCUUGAGUGCAGAAGAGGAGAGUGGAAUUCCACGUGUAGCGGUGAAAUGCGUAGAGAUGUGGAGGAACACCAGUGGCGAAGGCGACUCUCUGGGCUGUAACUGACGCUGAGGCGCGAAAGCGUGGGGAGCAAAC